GAUGAAGAACGCAGCGAAAUGCGAUACGUAAUGUGAAUUGCAGAAUUCAGUGAAUCAUCGAAUCUUUGAACGCACAUUGCGCCCGGCAGUAAUCUGCCGGGCAUGCCUGUCCGAGCGUCAUUUCACCCCUCGAGCCGCUUUUAGUGGAUCGGUGUUGGGGCACUACGGUAAAACGUAGGCCCCGAAAUGAAGUGGCGGUCCCGCCGCGGUGCCCCCAUGCGUAGUAACGUUUAGUCUCGCAUCGGGUCCCGGCGGAGGCCUGCCGUCAAGCCUUUUAUUCUCAGAAUAGUUUGACCUCGGAUCAGGUAGGGUUACCCGCUGAACUUAAGCAUAUCAAUAAGCGGAGGA
RNAcentral lists this unclassified non-coding RNA (348 nucleotides) under soil metagenome. RNAcentral's name for it is "partial contains 5.8S ribosomal RNA, internal transcribed spacer 2, and large subunit ribosomal RNA". The stretch from base 1 to 120 matches the Rfam family "5.8S ribosomal RNA", at positions 35 to 154 of the family's 154-position model. The record is from RNAcentral.